AAAACUUUCAACAACGGA
RNAcentral lists this ribosomal RNA (18 nucleotides) under Monilinia fructigena. RNAcentral describes it as "partial 5.8S ribosomal RNA". RNAcentral also lists the same sequence under 2 other names. Lineage: Eukaryota; Fungi; Ascomycota; Leotiomycetes; Helotiales; Sclerotiniaceae. The record is from RNAcentral.